Long non-coding RNA from Liolophura sinensis, 320 nucleotides. RefSeq lists it as uncharacterized. Lineage: Eukaryota; Metazoa; Mollusca; Polyplacophora; Chitonida; Chitonidae. The record is from RefSeq and is a predicted model, not a curated record. The transcript has 3 exons.
AACACCACAAAGAAUCUAGCUGACGUUUUAGUCGCUGUUUCCAUGACCAAACAACAUGUCUCACAAGUGGCGAAUGAAAUCUCAAUGGUACAAUGUGGAAAGACGAGAUUUGAUCUCCUUGGUAACGUGGAAGCUGCCGCCUAUGGAAUGGACUCUCUCCCAAAUAUGGUAAUAUCCGAACUGGAGAACGCAGACGAUGCCUGUCGAUCAGUGAAAGAUUUCUUCGUGGAGAAGAACUCUAAAAUAAACUACGGAGUGGAAACUGUUCUGAAAUUAGCCAGUGCUGAGAUCACCAACAUUAAUACUGCUUUGGAUCCCAU